UGAAGCUCGAACAAGCUUCGAAGUGUAAAAUAAAGUGUUUCUCCUAUCCGAGAUAAACCAUAUUACAUGGCGACCGUGACGUGGAGCCUGAAUACAAAAAAGUGCAGUGGUGGAAAUUUUAAAGUCCCAUAAAAAAUCGGACUUGGACGCAAAAACAAAAACAUGUGAACAAAUUCUAAGUCCCAUAAAAACGUGGACUUAGUCGAAUUUGGAAAAUUUGGUGAAAAAAAAAAGGACUCAGACGGCAGUGUAAAAAAAAAAGUGUUUUAGUUGAAGUGAGUGAGCGUAAUAGGAGUGAGUGCCAUAACGAUCAUAGAAACAAAAAAAAAGGACAGCUACAGUCCAGCAAAAGUGAGAGAUUUAAUCGUGAGUUGGAUUAUUACUUCGGACACCAACAAAUACCGCCUUACCGCGGGACAGCAGUCACCGCCGUAGCGGAACAGUGAAACAAAAAAUAAUAAUAAAAAAAAAAAGGACAACAUCGUAGCGGCGAACGAGUACAUACAACUACCUAGCACCACGUAGCGGCUUCUACCCA
Molecule: long non-coding RNA, 538 nt
Organism: Anopheles coustani
Lineage: Eukaryota; Metazoa; Arthropoda; Insecta; Diptera; Culicidae
Exons: 2
Source: RefSeq, a predicted model, not a curated record